GUAGGUAUAGCUCAGUGGUAGAGUGCAUGCUUAGCGUGCACGAGGUCCUGGGUUCAAUCCCCAGUACCUCCA
Molecule: transfer RNA, 72 nt
Filed under: Camelus bactrianus (Bactrian camel)
Lineage: Eukaryota; Metazoa; Chordata; Mammalia; Artiodactyla; Camelidae
Also listed under: 2 other names
Rfam family: tRNA
About the family: Transfer RNA (tRNA) molecules are approximately 80 nucleotides in length.
Source: Rfam by way of RNAcentral